RNAcentral lists this ribosomal RNA (450 nucleotides) under uncultured bacterium. Its description in RNAcentral is "bacterial SSU rRNA". It matches the Rfam family "Bacterial small subunit ribosomal RNA", at positions 329 to 792 of the family's 1533-position model. The record is from RNAcentral.
GCCCAGACUCCUACGGGAGGCAGCAGUGAGGAAUAUUGGUCAAUGGGCUUACGCCUGAACCAGCCAAGUCGCGUGAGGGAAGACUGCCCUAUGGGUUGUAAACUUCUUUUAUCAGGGACGAAGCAAGUGACGGUACCUGAUGAAUAAGCCACGGCUAACUACGUGCCAGCAGCCGCGGUAAUACGUAGGUGGCAAGCGUUAUCCGGAUUUACUGGGUGUAAAGGGCGUGUAGGCGGGGACGCAAGUCAGAUGUGAAAACCAUGGGCUCAACCUGUGGCCUGCAUUUGAAACUGUGUUUCUUGAGUACUGGAGAGGCAGACGGAAUUCCUAGUGUAGCGGUGAAAUGCGUAGAUAUUAGGAGGAACACCAGUGGCGAAGGCGGUCUGCUGGACAGCAACUGACGCUGAGGCGCGAAAGCGUGGGGAGCAAACAGGAUUAGAUACCCCCGUA